Panicum virgatum (switchgrass) is the source of this 255-nucleotide long non-coding RNA. RefSeq lists it as uncharacterized. Lineage: Eukaryota; Viridiplantae; Streptophyta; Magnoliopsida; Poales; Poaceae. The record is from RefSeq and is a predicted model, not a curated record. The transcript has 3 exons.
UUUCUGUUGCAGCUAUAGCUGAACUUCUUGACAAUGCAGUGGAUGAGAUAAACAAUGGUGCAACGUUCAUAAAAGUGGAUAAAAGCAUCAAUUCGAAAGACAAUAGCCCAAUGCUAGUUUUCCAAGAUGAUGGAGGAGGUAUGGAUCCUGAAGGUGUUCGUCGAUGCAUGAGUUUAGGAUUCUCAACCAAGAAAUCUAAGAACACUAUUGGCCAGUGUAUGUAUUAUUUUAUUUAAACUUGAUGAUUUAUGACCU